AGUUUCAAUUGGUUAGACACAUGGGAAGCUUUUUCAAAGCUAAAACCAUCAGUAUCUGUAAAAGCAUUUGGAUCAGCUUGGGCCAUCUCUUUGCUUUCUUCACACCUGGGCAAGCUCAGUGACCAGCUCUAAGAUCAAUGAGAAAUAUUCCUUGGGCCAUUGACCUUUUGUUCAUUCUUUUUCUAGGUGUAUCUCCAGCCUUGUAAAGAACUAGCUUAGGAUUCCAGAAAUCAGUAUUCAGACUGAAAUCUUGGGACCAGAAUAACAUCAAAGCCAAAAUGCAAGUUUCCUAGAGGACAAAUUGAUCUGCCUUGAUAGAUGAAGUUUCUCACCUGGGGCUUCCCUCACUCUAGAAAUUCCAGGUCCCCUUCAAAAAAAAGGUCUUUGGGAGUUGCUUAAGUACUGUGAUUUGCCAGUAUGUGUCAGAGGCAAGAUUGAAUGCCAGGUCCAGUUCAAGGGUGAUUCUCUAUCCAAUAAUCUGCUUCUAUUGCUUCUAUCAGCAAAAUUGAGGGUAAGUAGGCUGCCAUUUGUUGUUGAUAAGGCUAGGGUGAACAAUCAAGCUUUUUUUUUUUUAAACCAUGUUAAAUGUGCUCUGGUC
RNAcentral lists this long non-coding RNA (598 nucleotides) under Monodelphis domestica (gray short-tailed opossum). RNAcentral's name for it is "lncRNA (ENSMODG00000039638.1)". Lineage: Eukaryota; Metazoa; Chordata; Mammalia; Didelphimorphia; Didelphidae. The record is from RNAcentral.